RNAcentral lists this ribosomal RNA (440 nucleotides) under uncultured bacterium. RNAcentral describes it as "partial 16S ribosomal RNA". It matches the Rfam family "Bacterial small subunit ribosomal RNA", at positions 338 to 795 of the family's 1533-position model. The record is from RNAcentral.
CCUACGGGAGGCAGCAGUGGGGGAUAUUGCACAAUGGGGGAAACCCUGAUGCAGCGACGCCGCGUGAGUGAUGAAGGACUUCGGUAUGUAAAGCUCUAUCAGCAGGGAAGAAAAAGACUGUACGUGACUAAGCAGCCCCGGCUAAAUCCGUGUCAGAAGCCGAGGUAAUACGAAGGGGGCACGCGUUCUCCGGAAGUACUGGGGGUAAAGGGAGCGUAGACGGUUUUGUAAGUCUGGAGUGAAAGCCGAGGGUCCAACCGCGGGGGUGCAUUGGAAACUGGAGAACUGGAGUGCAGUAGAGGCAAGCGGAAUUCCUGGUGUAGCGGUGAAAUGCGUAGAGAUCAGGAGGAACACCGGCGGCGAAGGCGGCCUGCUGGACUGAAACUGACGCUGAGGCGCGAAAGCGUGGGGAGCAAACAGGAUUAGAUACCCUUGUAGUC